This 266-nucleotide signal recognition particle RNA is filed under the name marine eukaryotic metagenome. Its description in RNAcentral is "Bacterial large signal recognition particle RNA". It matches the Rfam family "Bacterial large signal recognition particle RNA". Rfam says of the family: The signal recognition particle (SRP) is a universally conserved ribonucleoprotein involved in the co-translational targeting of proteins to membranes. Archaeal SRP consists of a 7S RNA and homologues of the eukaryotic SRP19 and SRP54 proteins. The record is from RNAcentral.
UGUGCUAGACGGGGAGCUAGCGGUGCCCUGUACCUGCAAUCCGCUAUAGCAGGGUCGAAUGCCCACAUUGAGGUUCAGCCGCCCGAUUUUUCUCGUUGACUUUCCGGUGAUGAGAGUACAAGUCUCUCGCAAUGCAAAGGUGCCCAAUCCCGUCAGGACCGGGAGGUAGCAGCGGUCAGCAUUCUGAACAUGUGCCGGGAGGUAGCUUGUCUUGAACCGGGAGUCGAUAGAGUGGAUCAGGUACAGCGAAUCGAAGGUGGGUGCAC